AUUGAACGCUGGCGGCAGGCCUAACACAUGCAAGUCGAACGAGUGGCGGACGGGAGAGUAAUGUCUGGGAAACUGCCCGAUGGAGGGGGAUAACUAAUGGAAACGGUAGCUAAUACCGCAUACCAUCGGAUGUGCCCAGAUGGGUUGAGCUAGUAGGUGGGGUAACGGCUCACCUGGGCGACGAUCCCUAGCUGGUCUGAGCGGAUGACAAGCCACAAGGGAACUGAGACACGGUCCAGAAUCCUACGGGAGGCAGAAGUGGGGAAUAGUGCACAAUGGGCGAAAGCCUGAUGCAGCCAUGCCGCGUGUAUGAAGAAGGCCGUCGGGUUGUAAAGUACUUUCAGCGAGGAGGCGUGACGCGCAGAAGAAGCACCGGCUAACUCCGUGCCAGCAGCCGCGGUAAUAC
This 406-nucleotide ribosomal RNA is filed under the name uncultured bacterium. Its description in RNAcentral is "partial 16S ribosomal RNA". It matches the Rfam family "Bacterial small subunit ribosomal RNA", at positions 29 to 526 of the family's 1533-position model. The record is from RNAcentral.